RNAcentral lists this ribosomal RNA (253 nucleotides) under uncultured bacterium. RNAcentral describes it as "partial 16S ribosomal RNA". It matches the Rfam family "Bacterial small subunit ribosomal RNA", at positions 524 to 776 of the family's 1533-position model. The record is from RNAcentral.
UACGGAGGGUGCAAGCAUUAAUCGGAUUUAUUGGGCGUAAAGGGCGCGUAGGCGGGAUGGCAAGUCAGAUGUGAAAUCCCGGGGCUCAACCUUCAGAGGUCGACCGAAACCAUCUGGCUAGAGUCCGGGAGAGGAGAGUGGAAUUCCUGGUGUAGCGGUGAAAUGCGCAGAUAUCAGGAAGAACACCCGUGGCGAAAGCGGCUCUCUGGAACGGUACUGACGCUGAGACGCGAAAGCGUGGGGAGCGAACAGG